CCACAGCGGGCAAAGCGGAGGAGAACAGCAGUAACACUCAAAAAUCAGGCAGCCAAAAAAGAAAGGAAAAUAAAAUAAGAGAGGAGAAGGAGUUGAAGGGUCGACAAUAUGUCACCCAAUAUUUCCAAAAAAAGAGUCAAGUGCACCAGCAGCAGCAGCAGCUGUCUGUCAGCCCUCUGAAUCAGCCCCAGUACCCCCACAUGAGGAAGGAGCAGCGUCGGAGAGCAUGAGAGGGUGUCUGACGGAGUGGACACACGACACCCGGGCUGCUGAAAAGCACAGGAAGAGGACAGAAAGAGCGACUGAUAAAAAGCAUCAGAGACUGAGAAAAGGAAACCAUUUAUGUGCUCAACGAGAAAAGUAAAAUAUAUUUGUAAAUCCUCAGCCGAAGGGUGUCACAUGGUGAUAUUGGUCCAAGAAAGAACCCAACAACAAGGAAGAGUCGUUCACAGUAACAUUUUUUUGGCAAAUUUUCAGAGAUGCUCAUUUGGGUUUAGGUGAGGGACUCGGCUGGGCCAGGCAGAAAUGGUCACA
Molecule: long non-coding RNA, 534 nt
Organism: Entelurus aequoreus (snake pipefish)
Lineage: Eukaryota; Metazoa; Chordata; Actinopteri; Syngnathiformes; Syngnathidae
Exons: 3
Source: RefSeq, a predicted model, not a curated record